CCCCAACUCCUACGGGAGGCAGCAGUGAGGAAUAUUGGUCAAUGGGCGCGAGCCUGAACCAGCCAAGUAGCGUGAAGGAUGACUGCCCUACGGGUUGUAAACUUCUUUUAUAAAGGAAUAAAGUGAGGCACGUGUGCCUUUUUGUAUGUACUUUAUGAAUAAGGAUCGGCUAACUCCGUGCCAGCAGUCGCGGUAAUACGGAGGAUCCGAGCGUUAUCCGGAUUUAUUGGGUUUAAAGGGAGCGUAGAUGGGUUGUUAAGUCAGUUGUGAAAGUUUGCGGCUCAACCGUAAAAUUGCAAUUGAUACUGGCAGUCUUGAGUACAGUUGAGGUAGGCGGAAUUCGUGGUGUAGCGGUGAAAUGCAUAGAUAUCACGCAGAACUCCGAUUGCGAAGGCAGCAUUCCGGCGCUCAACUGACGCUCAUGCACGAAAGCGUGGGUAUCGAACAGGAUUAGAUACCCUCGUAAC
This 467-nucleotide ribosomal RNA is filed under the name uncultured bacterium. Its description in RNAcentral is "bacterial SSU rRNA". It matches the Rfam family "Bacterial small subunit ribosomal RNA", at positions 330 to 795 of the family's 1533-position model. The record is from RNAcentral.